AUGGGGAGAGGAAGAGCAGGAAAGGAAGUGUUUGAUAGGAGGACACAGGGGAUGCAGAGGGACCCAAAUGCUCAUGCAUGUUGCCCACACAAUUCUGCAUUGCUUGGGUACCCACACACUUUCUCUGUGAGGAGACAGCUGAGUGAUUAUCCCUCAGACCAUCAGGAAGAACACAGUGGCAAUGGAAAGGAAAUCUGCAGCUUCUUUCUGGGACCACUGCUUCUUCAAGGACUGAGUGGAGUGUUUGAAGAUGCUCUGAGCUGCAGUCUCAGUCUCUCUCUACCUGCUGGCAUGGAAGAAAACAGAGUCUCUCACCUUCCUCUUGCUGCAUAG
This 333-nucleotide long non-coding RNA is filed under the name Coturnix japonica (Japanese quail). RNAcentral describes it as "lncRNA (ENSCJPG00005016208.1)". Lineage: Eukaryota; Metazoa; Chordata; Aves; Galliformes; Phasianidae. The record is from RNAcentral.